Molecule: long non-coding RNA, 3288 nt
Organism: Cottoperca gobio
Lineage: Eukaryota; Metazoa; Chordata; Actinopteri; Perciformes; Bovichtidae
Source: Ensembl
CAUAUUCCAAACGUGAAAGUGGAAGUGUUGAUAUUACGAGCAGCACCUGAACGCAGCACUGUUCCCAAGGAGAACCCCGCAAAAGGAAAAAGGUCGUGUAUCUGGGAUCCUCCGUUGAAAUCCUUCAAACCAGCACGAGGGAAGGACAGAUAAUAAAUUAACCAUCAAGCUGUGAGUGAUUUUAUGUCGGUGCCGUUACCGUCCGGUCUGCACGGACCCCGGUCUGCACCUCUCAUCAGGUCCUUUAAUGUGAGGAGCAGCGAGCCUUCAACCUGCUGCCUGAACGUGGAUCCACACCGAGCCCUCUUCUCUCUGAGGGGAUGGAGGUGAAAGCCUGAAAGUAACUCUGACUCAAGGUCACGUCUGUCUGGCUCUGGAAACUCCAGACAGAUCGCUGCCCGGAGAGGAGACUGAGAAGAGGAAGCCGGGCACUUUGGGAUCUGACCAGUGACCUGCAGGGGGAGAGAAGCAGCGUAGAGGCUUGAUUAAAAUGGGGCUGCAGAUCUUGGUACCUGCUGACAGUGUGUCUGAGGGCCGCUCGCUCAGCCAACAGCCAUGCCAGACGUAAAGCCUCCACCACCAUGUGACUACCCCUCCACCUCCUCUGUUGCGGACUCCGUCGGCUCUCCUGCUGGCUGCGCCUCCCCCUUCGACCUCCUCAUAGACAUGGAGCCCUGCAUCGCCAACCUCCCUCUGUCCCCCGACCCCUUGUCCUCCUUCCACCGACACAGACCCAGCUUCCCUUUCUACCCAGGCUCCCACGGGCCUCCCUUCCCUCUCAUGGCCAGGUGUAACAGCAGCACCCUGCUCACAAACCUGGGGCUGAGGUACUGCUCCAACAGGCAGGGCCCUUUGGGGAUGGGGCCAGGUCAGGGGCCGGGCCCGGGCUCCUGCAACUACACAGGAAGCAACAGGCCUUACAGGAGUAUGGAGAACCUGAACUGGAACAAUGUGGCAGAUUCUGGUCUGUGUGCUUUCAGUGCUGCCCCCUACAGGAGCAUGGAUGGUGAGUUUAUUUUACGAUACACCUCCACUAGCCACUGGUAUGAUGGGCCACCAGAUGGAUCUAUGGUGGGGGCCCACGGACUGGUACCCAACCAAGAGAGCCUGGCGUUUUACCCUCGACAUGGGCUUCCCAGGAAGGACCUACCGCUCUUCCCUCAGGUGCUGUUUCCAGGUGCCGUCGACGAAUGGGAUGUGAGGAAAGGCCUGAGGGAGAAGCUCCGCCUCCAGAGUGCGAGGUCAUCAGUCGAGCCUCUGAAGCCCCUCCCAUUGCGGCCUCAGGCGACCCCAGGUGCUGCACCCAUCCAACUGGAGGGUGCACAUCAUGUGAAUUCAACAGUUGCUGGGUCCAGGCCGCCGUGCACAAUGCGCAUCACCAGUCCCGAGGAGAUUAAGCAGGAGGUCAUGAGGCGCUUACAACUCCGGCGGCAGAACAGCAGCCCCAACCUGGCUCUCCACAGCUCCCCAUCCAGCCCGGAAGUGGUUAAGACAUCCUACACAACAGACAACAUUACAGGUAGCGGGGGUGGAUCAGAGCGCCGCAGACCUCCUAUGGGACGCCUACAUAUCCCCACGUUUGAGGAGUUUAAGAGGAUGAGGCAGAAAGAGGGAGAACAGAACAAAGGGUCCACAGCGGGUUCUGUGGUAUCUGGAAAAUCUGAGGGUGAGUCGCCACAAGAAGCAGGAAUAUCAGACAGUGAGAUGCAUCCUUCUUAUCGGACUGUCCCUCAGGAGGGAGAAAUAAGCAGAAGGACCUCAGAGAGAUCUCCCUGUAUCACUGUGAGCUGUAACGGCACUUCAGCUCCCAUCUCCACUUCCGUCACCAGCACAUACUCUCCCAUCCGCACAGGCCCGUCUCCACGUUCACCCCUGCAGCCCCUGGCCAGCUCCACCCAGGAGAAGGCCCCCGCUGCAGGGGGAGAUGACGGGAGCACCAGGCGUAGGAGGAGCAGUCUGGAACCAGCUGGGUCGGUUCCUUUCCCGCCCAGCAGGGGGAACUGGGACCGGCCCUCCAGCUGCUGCCCUGCGCUCCUUCUGGAGGGGACGGACCUUUCCAGCUACGGAGCCAAGAUCUACAAGAUGAAGGACGGCCUCAUCGGCUCCGCACUGGACCUCAUCAAAAAGAGCUGCAGUGCAGAGAUCUCCGCCGAGGCCCCCGUCAGGCUGUCAGGUGACCGGGACGGAGGCUGUGACAUCACCGCCCCCUCGACCGACUGUCAUCCCUCCGCCGUUGCCAUGGCAACGUCGGCAACGGCCUGCGGAGCCGAGGCUGGCGACGAGACGCCUGCAGGAGGAGGAGGAGGAGGAAGAGAGGAAGCAGCAGAAUGCCACACCGGUCUGGGCUGCAGGCGCUCCAGCUCGGACGCAGCCUAUGAGCUGUCUGAGACGGUGAGGGCGCAGCGCGAGUGCCGUCUCCGGCCCCACUACAGCGAUCCCAUGCCGGCCGACGCCUCCAAGCGCAAACAGCUGGAGAUGAAGAUCGCUGCAGCCGCACGACUCCACGGCCAUCGCCGAGACCGCGACAGGGACCGAGACCGAGACAGCGCUCCAGCAGCAAUCCGUGGUCGCUCAGAGCCCCCCGGUGAGGAGCGCCAGGUGGGUCUGGGUGUGACUCGGUCCGGGCAGCAUCGCUGGAGCACCAUCAGCAGCUUGAGCGUGGACAGCGGAGUGGUGGGCCUCAGCGAUGAGCGGGAGGAGGAGGACAGCGAGCCUCGCCGUUACCGCAGGUACCGGGGAGCCGAGGUGGAGCGGGUGGACAGCGGCAUUGGCCCGGGUCUGUCCCGCACCUGGAAGAGACCAUCGGCCUCCCUCAGAGCCUGGGAGGCCCAGAGACCCUGUCCAGACUGUGGACUGAGGGACGGGGUCUCCAAAGAGCGAGGAGAGCGCAUGUGUGAACGUUGCUCCAAGCUGCGCACCGAGCGCAAGGAAGCCAUCCUGGAGUUUCUGAACACGGAGUCGAGCUACGGCGAAGACCUGCGGAUCAUCAGGGAGGAGUUUUACUGCCCCAUGCAGAGCGCUGCGCUGCUGACAGCCGAGCAGCUCACCGUGGUGUUUAGUAACGUUCAGGAGCUCAUAGACGUCAACGACCGCUUCACUGAACACCUGCAGGACAGCAUCGACCAGGGCUUUGACCAGGUGACACACACACACACACACACACACACACACACACACUCACACACACACUCACACUCACACUCACACUCACAAGGCUUGAACCAGGUGGUCUGGUGUUACAUAACUCACCUUCAGAAUCACAAUAUCUUUUCUUCUCACGGCCGCUGC